UUACAGUUAAAAAGAAUGGAAAGAUGUAUACUAGUCUGAUAGAUAAUACGAGGACCUCUGGUUUUUCAAAACUGUUGGAUCAACAAGUUAUUAUAAACAGAUAAAUUGAAAUGGUUUGCUUGUCGAUUAACUUGAAGAAACCGGGUUUUAAACAAGAAAGUUGUGUGUCUUUUUGAUGGAUUAUUUACAUACCCGCUAUUUUGUACUUGGAAAGCGCACCGAAAGGUAAAUAUUAUCAUGCAAAUAUUUAAGAAGAUGCUAGUGGUAUACUUUUCACGAAAAAACAUUUGAAUUUAUAAAUUUCAUCGCAUGCAAACCCGAAAAUCAGUCUGACAAAGAUCAGAAGAUUGGCAAGAACGGACGCAAGUCAACUCGACCCACUGCCAAAACGGCCUACUUUUUUAAACAACACGUCUCCCUUUCUAAAAAUGUCCCACUCUUGUUAAGGGAGCUACCAUGUGAGUUUUAUUGGAGGUGGGGGGGUCACCAUGUCACAGGCACUUGUCUCAGAAAAAAAAUUCCCUAUAUACCUUAAUAUAAUACAUAUUUAAUACAUAUAUAUAGGAUUUUUUUUUCUGAGACAAGUGCCUGUGUGGGGGGUGCUUGGAUGUUAUUUGAAAAAUAUGCGGAACUGGAGUUCUGUCAACUUUAAAAAAAAAAUGCAGGAUAACAUUUUUAUCGUAGCCCCCACCCCAUAAAAGUCAAGUGGUGGCUUCCUUACCAACUCGUCCUGCUUUAAAAAAAAAUUGCCCUACUUUAUAUAAAAAUGGUUAAAAUCUGUAAAAUAUACUCCUGCAAAGAAUGGCCUUGCCCAACUUGCAUGACUUGGGUAAAAUCCAAAUGAAUAUAAUUAAUAUUUAAUUUAUAUAAAAAAUAAAAGUCUGCAAAUUUGCCCUUAUUUACAUAAAUUUGUACUUAUCUAGACUACCUAGUUCAAAUAAUUAUGACUUCUUGAAAGGCUAUUACAUUUUUUUUAUUUGACGCCUUACUGUACAUUAGAGUAAAGCGUCCAAAAAAUAAUAUUAUAAUAGCCUUUCAAGACGUCAUAAUAAUUUGGACUACUAGACUACCCAGAAAUUAGAAAACACUGAUAUAAAAAUUUAAUUAAUAUACAUAAAAUUGAUAAUGGAAAUGGGGAAUGUGUCAAAGAGACAACAACCCGACCAUAAAGCAGACAACAGCAGAAGGUCACCAACAUGUCUUCAAUGCAGCAAGAAAUUCCGGAGGCGUCCAUCAGCUGGCCCCUAAACAAAUAUAUAUACUAGUUCAGUGAUAAUGAACGCCAUACUAAACAUGCUAAACUCCAAAUUGUACACAAGAAACUAAAAUUAAAAAUAGUACAAGACUAACAAAGGCCAGAGGCUCCUGACUUGGGACAGGCGCAAAAUUCAGACGGGGUUAAACAUGUUUAUGAGAUCUCUAACCUCCCCCUAUACAUGUACCUCUAGCCAAUGCAGAUGUAUGAUAUCUAUUGAUUUAAAUUGAUGUGUCAUUUCUGAAACCAUGAUUGUGGAUUCAUAUUUAUUAUUAAAUUAUUAUGUACAUGUAAUUUAUGUAUUUAUUUAGUGUAUCAUAAUCUAUUUGAACUUUUUUUUAGCUGUCUCAAAAUCAAGCUGUUUGGGCCUCCUCUUGUACAUGGGAAGUGGACUCCUUGAGAAGGUGAAAGGUCUGCUUUACAUGUACAUAAUGUUAAUAUAAAAAUACAAAAAAUGUGGUGAUCAUGGUGAUAGUGAAUGAGAAAAUAGAGGAAUUUUUAAAAGUGUAAAUUCACUUUUUUCCACUUAUAAAUCUGUCAUAUUGUAAUUUAUAUGAUAAUAAUGUUUAAAUUACAUAAUUAUUUCAAAUUAUUGUUUAGGGGGGGGGGGCUAGGAGAAAAAUUGUCCUGCUUUUCAACAAUUUGCCUUUACAUUUUCACUCUAUGAGCAAAGCCAAUACUGCAUAUUCAGUUUUUAAGACCCUAAUGAGAAUCACAAAUUUGUAAAUCUAUUCAAACAAGAAAACUAAGAGACUGAUUUAUACAAUGUAAAAUAUAAAAAACAGAACAAAAAAAAAAUAAGAUAACAGCAAUAUAAGACAAAUCGAACCACUAAAUUACUUAUUUAGUUAGAAAUAUGUGUCGGAUGACCCCUCUUGCUAACUAACAUGCCAACAUGACUAAAAAUAGAACAUAGGGGUAAAAGGCAGUUUUUAUACGACUGCAAAAAUUUUAAUUUUUCGUCGUAUAUUGCUACAUUGUAUCACGUUGGCGUCGUGCGGCGUCGUUGUCGUCCAAAUACUUUUAGUUUUCGCACUCUAACUUUAGUAAAAGUGAAUAGAAUUCUAUGAAAUUUUAACACAAGGUUUAUGACCACAAAAGGAAGGUUGGGAUUGAUUUUGGGAGUUUUGGUCCCAACAUUUUAGGAAUUAGGGGCCAAAAAGGGCCCAAAUAAGCAUUUUCUUGGUUUUCGCACUAUAACUUUAGUUUAAGUGAAUAGAAAUCUAUGAAAUCUUGACACAAGGUUUAUGACCACUAAAGGUAGGUUGGGAUUGAUUUUGGGAGUUUUAGUUUAAACAGUUUAGGAAUUAGGGGCCAAAAAAGGGCCCAAAUAAGCAUUAUUCUUGGUUUUCGCACAAUAACUUUAGUAUUAGUAAAUAGAAAUCAAUGAAAUUUUGACACAAGGUGUAUGACCACAAAAGGAAGGUUGGGAUUGAUUUUGGGAGUUGAGGUCUGAACAGUUCAGGAAUUAGGGGCCAAAAAGGCGCCCAAGUAAGCAAUUCUUGGUUUUUGCACCAUAACUUUAGUAUAAGUAAAUAGAAAUCUAUGAAAUUUAAACACAAGGUUCAUGACCACUAAAGGAAGGUUGGGUUUGAUUUUGGGAGUUUUGUCCCAACAGUUUAGGAAUAAGGGGCCCAAAGGGUCCAAAAUUGAACUUUGUUUGAUUUCAUCAAAAAUUGAAAAAUUGGGGUUCUUUGAUAUGCCGAAUCUUACUGUGUAUGUAGAUUCUUAAUUUUUUGGUCCCUUUUCAAAUUGGUCUACAUUAAGAUCCAAAGGGUCCAAAAUUAAACUUAGUUUGAUUUUAACAAAAAUUGAAUCCUUGGGGUUCUUUGAUAUGCUGAAUCUAGAAAUGUACUUAGAUUUUUGAUUAUUGGCCCAGUUUUCAAGUUGGUCCAAAUCGGGGUUCAGAAUUAAACUUUGUUUGAUUUCAUCAAAAAUUGAAUAAUUGGGGUUCUUUGAUAUGCCAAAUCUAACUGUGUAUGUAGAUUUCUUAAUUUUUAGUCCUGUUUUCAAAUUGGUCUACAUUAAAGCCAAAGGGUCCAAAAUUAAACUAAGUUUGAUUUUAACAAAAAUUGAAUCCUUGGGGUUCUUUGAUAUGCUGAAUCUAAAAAUGUACUUAGAUUUUUAUGCAGUUAAGCUGCAUUAUGUGAGCACCCUAGAUUCGUGUUCUACCCAAUAAAUCCUGAAAUACUUGCCAUUGUUAUUAUCUAGCUUGCUACUAUGUUAUAUAUAACUAAUUGGACACUUUUUUAAUACUUUUUAUUCUGGAUAAAAAAAAAAAUGACCAGAAAAACCUUAAAUGAUCGUCGAUUUAUCCAAAAGUUUUAAAGUUACACAUAGGAAGUAGUGCUUAUUAAGAAUCCUUGUGUAGUUCAUUAUGACUUGUGCUUUUAGCUAAGAUGUCAAAGAACAAUUGUAUGAAAUAUUUAAUCGCCGAAAAUCUCUUAAGACAAGUAGUUUAGAUUUCCCAAAUGACAAAAGUCGUAGGAAUAUUGUUUGUCAUCAAUACGUAGUACAACUACAUCAGUAGUCUAUUAUAUAAUAAGUGCAACUGUUCAUGCUGUUGGCGGCAAUUUCAAAUUAGAAAAAGAAACUUUCGUAGCUUUUCAAUUUGGAGGCAGGUGUGAUAUAAGCGGUGGUCCGAGGUCCGCGACCUUCCACUUUUGCAAGCGGAAUUUCGACUAGGAUAGUUGGUUUCUAGCUACGCCCGACGUAGUCACCUUACAUUUGAAAGAAAAUAAGAAAUUACUUUUCAAACCUUUUCACAAUGUUCACCAAAGUCUCCAAUUAAACGAGCUAAAAACUUAUUUUUAUUAUUAUUAUUCAUGACGGCGAUGUUCAUUUUGUUCAACCGCUAGCUUUAGAUACAGAAAAUCGCCGACAAAUAUUGUAUAAAUUCGAGUAAAAUCGUAUAAUGUAUUGUGCAAUAGCAAGAAAUUUUCAAUUGCACAGUAUUCAGCAAUAGCAAGAAAUCUUCAAUUGCACAGUAUUGUGCAAUAGCAAGAAAUUUUCAAUUGCUCAGUAUUGCGCAAUAGCAAGAAAUCUUCAAUUGCACAGUAUUGUGCAAUAGCAAAUAUUUUCAAUUGCACAGUAUAGCGCAAUAACAAGAAAUAUCUAAUUGCACAAUAUUGCGCAAUAGCAAGAAAUAUCUAAUUGCACAAUAUUGUGCAAUAGCAAGAAAUUUUCAAUUGAUUGGAGUUAUCUUUCUUUGUCCAGAAUAGUAGUUAAAUCAACUUAAAUCAUUGUUUUAUAAUACAAUAGACAAUGUAUAUUCACUUUUACUACCAACUGAUAAAUUAAAACAAUCUUUACCAUUCAGUGAUAACAAGCACCUUUUGUUAUAUUUUAUGAUGUAUUUAAAUGAGUAGUUAUUGUUGCAAACUCCAUAAGAAAUUUGAAUUGAGAUCAGUUUUGGAAAAAGGGAAAGGGGGAUGUGAAAAAAAAUGAGGGGGGUAAAUUUUUCUCAUUUCAGAUUUCAUAAAUAAAAAGAAAAUUUCUUCAAACAUUUUUUUGAGAGGAUUAAUAUUCAACAGCAUAGUGAAUUGCUCAAAGGCAAACAAAAUAUUUUAAGUUCAUUAAACCACAUUCAUUCUGUGUCCUAAACCUAUGCUGUGUCAACUAUUUAAUCACAAUCCAAAUUUAGAGCUGAAUCCAGCUUGAAUGUUGUGUCCAUACUUGCCCCAACCGUUCAGAGUUCAACCUCUGCGGUCGUAUAAAGCUGCGCCCUGCGGAUCAUCUGGUUGGCUAAUACAUUUAUCUCUGAAAGCAGAAACUAAAGCAUUCAGAUCAAAUUUGACCUGGGGUUAAAAUGUUUACCAGGUUAAGAAGAGCUAUCCUUUUUUUUCAGGGAAAGUUUGUUGGUUUAGUUUAAAAGAUCAAAACUAAGCCAAUUUUGCAAGAUCAAAUAUUAAAUGCAAUUUUGGCAGAUAUUAUAACUUCAUUUCAUUAAACAUUAUUUCUUUUAGCAUUUUCAAUGAAUGUACAAGUACAAGUACUUUGAGAAGUAGGAGAAGCUAAGCAACAGAACAGAAUUCAUUUGGGUCAUUGCUGUCUAGAUUAUAUAGUGGAUUCAUAGAUUGUCAUUGAUAUUGUUUAUGUGCAUAUGAGCACAGAGGAGCAGUAGUCAAUGAAUAAUUUUGUGAUGAGAGGUAUGUUUAUAUUAAAAUGAUGCCUAGUUUAUUUGAUAAUUUUGCUCUCUUGUCAAACUCGGUAAAUCAUGUACAUGUAGUUUCCAAGAUUUAUUUUAAAAUUUGAGGUCAUAGAGUUCCAAGUUUUGAUUCUUGUUGUGGGCAAGUUUGAAAAUUAUCCAUGUUAACAGUUAGAAGUGACAAAUUAUUUUUUUUACAAAACCAUAAACAAUUUGUAGUCCAGUCUAACUAAGAUUUAACCCUUUCCUCCAUGGAAUUUUUUUUUUACAUACUUGAUUCGCAUAGGAUUUUUUCAAUAAAAAAAAAAUCAUCAGGUUUAAAGUAUGAAUCAUGUUAAUGCAUUGUAGAACGAACAUUUCAUCAAUGAAAUUCAAGUCAGAUAUUCUCAUGAAUAUCCUUUUCAUAUUGGAUACAAUUUUUUUUAAGUCUUUUUUAAUAUGCAGACAUUUUGUAGUCAAUGCAUUUCAACUUAUGUACUACACAGGCGUCAAAAGGCGUCAUUAUGGAGUAAAGGGGAUGGGGUCAAAAAGCAUCAUUAUGGAGGAAACGGUUAACCUCAAACUAAUUAAAACAGAAAAUGUUUUAGUUCAAAUCUAUAGCGUUAUGCCCUUUAUAUACACAGAAAAAAGUCCCAUAAAAUCUAACUUGAGGAAAACUCAAAAGUGGCAUUUUAUAUUUCCUUUGGAAAUUAACAUUGGAAGGGGAGAUAACUCCGCAAAAAAUGAGUCCUUUUUUGGUCAGUUUUUGGUUGAUUUUCUUGAAAUUUAUGUAAAGGCUUAAGCACGAUACUUUUAUGGAGUUAUAAGUUUGUAUUUGACUAAAUAAUAUAAUCUCCUGCUCAUGAAAUGUACAAAACCGAAGUGUUACAGGUAGUUUUUUUUGUUUGUGCAUUUUUCAUUAAAGAAAUUGCAAAUUUGAAGCUUUGAGACCAUUUUGAAAAAAUAAUGUGAAAAUUUGGUAUUGUUUAUAUCUGUAUAUUAUAUUCUUUCAGCAUCUUACUUGUCUAAAGAAACUUUAAACCACAAAAUGAAGAACACAUGCUUAAUUAUUUUUAUCAAAUUUGAGAUUCUUUACCUUGAUUACGAUUUUCAAACAUGGAAUAAUAUGAUCACUGUGGGUAUUAUUUGUACAAAAAAUUAUAGUACAAAACAAGUACAUGAACUGUACAAUACAUGUACCGUACCUAAAUGUUACAAUAAUUUUUUAAGUAAAGAAAGUUAUGAUACUAAAUAUCAAAAGUAAAUGUCCAGUACUACAGAUUUUAAGUACAGAAACAUUACCUAUGCAAAAGUAGCAGUUUAUAUGAAUUCAAGAAUUGAAUCUACAUGUAUAUUCAAUUAAAGAUUUCUUGCUGUUGUGCAAUACACUGGGCUGUUGCGCAAUAAUUGGUUAAUCUGUUGUCAGACUGCAAACAAACAAUAAUUUCUCAAUGUCACAUGUAUAUCAGAAAUAUUAUAAAAAGAAAACUAAAAGGAGGUUUUCUUAAUAGCUAUAAAUCAGUCAUCAAAGUUUAACGAAAUUUUAAGGAUACAUUUAUUUCCAAAAACUUGAAAGUCACCCCUUUUCUUAUGACAUGUACAAUGUAUGAAGAAAAUCUUAUAACUCAGAAACUGACAAACUUAAAUUUAUAAAAAUCAAAUGGGAGCUUACAACAAAAUAUAUGAACAAUUUAACUAAGUUUCAGGAUAUUCAGCAUUUUUAUGUCCCACUCAAUGAAGUUUUGGGGGGUAUAAAUAUAAUGUUUUUGACCUGUCUGUCUGACGUCAAGUCCUGUUUCUUGUCAUCACAACUGUUCUCAAACAACACAACAGAAUUUCAUGAAAUCUUUUUAGAUAAUAAAGACAUACAAUGUAGAUGUGCAUAUCGACAGGAAAUUAAGAUUCAAUUUUUUUUCUAGGAAUUAAGCCCCUUUGAACUUAUUUGCUUUAAUGUACUACUUCAACAGUUUGUUAUUGUAACUCCCCUGAAUCCACACAACAGAAUUUCAUGAAACUUUGUAGAUAAUAAGGACAUACUAUGUAGAUGUGCAUAUUGACAGGAAAUUAUGAUUCAAUUGAAGUUUAUCAAUUGCCAAGGUACAUUGAAAGGUUGUUCUUUUAUUAAAAUCUGCACAUAUAUAGGAUUUUUUUAUAAGCUUAAACUUGAUCUUCUUUCUGUUGUUAGCUUACAUUUUGUUUCAAUUUACUUAAAAGUAAAAGUAUAUAGGAAAGGUAUAAAUUAGUGAUCGGUUCAUACUACAUGUAGUUUUUGUCUGGACUUCUUGAUUAAUUUAUAUAUAUAUAUACAAUUUUAGCUUGUUACCAAAUGAAAGGAAAGGACAUUAUUGGCAAGGAUUGAUAUUACUGGUGAACAUGUAUGUCAUGUAGGUGUGAAUGCCCUGCAAAACAGACCUGAUAUCAAAGUAAGUUCAUCUGUAGAAUUGCAGUUAAUUUAAAUAAUUUUAUGUUAUCUACCUAAAACUGUUUCAAGUUUAAUUGUACAUGUACACUGUUGCUUAUUUUUUUCACUUUCUGAUUCAAUGCAUGCAUUAAGCCUUACUCUGCUCGCCUCCUUCUGCUCCAUACACACACACUUGAGAUGUCAGAAAUUCAGACUAUCAUAGCAUUUACAUUACAAACUUACCUAGUCAGACUGGCCUAUAUUAUGUAUUGAUAAGUUAACGUUGUUAUCAUUUAGAAAAUAUAAAAUAUUUGCCACUGGACAUUCAAAUAAGCAAAAAAAAAACGACCAGUUAAUGAUUUUGCAUUAACAGAAUGAAUUUGCAAACAUAUAGCAAUUAGCUUAUGUAAUUCAUGGAAGUUAGAUUUAUAUUCUUUAUGAAUAUUUUAUUUCAGUUACCAUCACAGUGAACAUGGUGAAGAAUAACCAAUACCAUGAAUACAGGACAUAGAAGACUACCUCACAAACUUGGGAAUUUUACAAAAA
Molecule: long non-coding RNA, 8328 nt
Filed under: Mytilus galloprovincialis (Mediterranean mussel)
Lineage: Eukaryota; Metazoa; Mollusca; Bivalvia; Mytilida; Mytilidae
Source: RNAcentral